AGUGAACGCUGGCGGUAGGCCUAACACAUGCAAGUCGAACGGCAGCACAGUAAGAGCUUGCUCUUACGGGUGGCGAGUGGCGGACGGGUGAGGAAUACAUCGGAAUCUACUUUUUCGUGGGGGAUAACGUACGGAAACUUACGCUAAUACCGCAUACGACCUACGGGUGAAAGCAGGGGAUCUUCGGACCUUGCGCGAUUGAAUGAGCCGAUGUCGGAUUAGCUAGUUGGCGGGGUAAAGGCCCACCAAGGCGACGAUCCGUAGCUGGUCUGAGAGGAUGAUCAGCCACACUGGAACUGAGACACGGUCCAGACUCCUACGGGAGGCAGCAGUGGGGAAUAUUGGACAAAGGGCGCAAGCCUGAUCCAGCCAUACCGCGUGGGUGAAGAAGGCCUUCGGGUUGUAAAGCCCUUUUGUUGGGAAAGAAAAGCAGCAGGUUAAUACCCCGCUGUUCUGACGGUACCCAAAGAAUAAGCACCGGCUAACUUCGUG
RNAcentral lists this ribosomal RNA (492 nucleotides) under uncultured bacterium. Its description in RNAcentral is "partial 16S ribosomal RNA". It matches the Rfam family "Bacterial small subunit ribosomal RNA", at positions 29 to 507 of the family's 1533-position model. The record is from RNAcentral.